RNAcentral lists this long non-coding RNA (1024 nucleotides) under Taeniopygia guttata (zebra finch). RNAcentral's name for it is "lncRNA (ENSTGUG00000020977.1)". Lineage: Eukaryota; Metazoa; Chordata; Aves; Passeriformes; Estrildidae. The record is from RNAcentral.
CCCUUGGACAUCUCUAGGGAUGGUGACUCCACCACUUCCCUGGGCAAUAUAUUCCAAUGCCUGACCGUGCAGAAAGAAUUUGUUCUGGGAUCAGAACUAGGAUAAAGUCACUAUGAAUCCAGAAUGUGCUCUACCCAGUGCCAGCCAUUUCAUUCCAGGCUUUGCUGCAGCCUGCAUGGAAACACCAGAGCCAGGGAGAGAGAGGUUAAAGACAAGCAACCACAGCAUCACACAAAGUACUUCUCAUAAAGGAAAUUCCAACAAUUCCACAUACACAGACCUGCACAGAGGAAGUAAGCUGCAUUCAAAGACAGCAUUGUGCAAGGUGAGUCCAACACUUCAGAUGACCACAAACACUGACACUAUGGCAAUACUUUACAUUCUGAGCUUGCCCACUAUGGUGAUGCACUCGCUGACCAAGCUCAACCCUUUGUGUGCUGCCACUGACCAUUACGGAUGCCAGAUUCACAGGCAGCUAAAAUGUGCGCCAAAGUCUUCCACUCAAAUCAGGAGUGACACCACUUUCACACAAAGCGAGAUUCUGGCCCUUGCGGUUCAUUCAGGUCCAAUCUCUGCUGAGACAGCCGGAGAGCUCUGCCGGCGCUGCGAAAAGCAUCGAUUUUGGGAGGAGGAUGCGGAGCAGCGAAUGCCCUCCUUGCUCUGUUCCCAUGACAACACCCUGCAAAGCAGCUCUGCCAGCUUCCCCCUGACUGCCUCAUCGCGCCCGACAGCGCGCCCAGGCUCCAGCUUUCAACCCAGAUAACGCCUCUUCCUUUAAUUACCGAAAGCUUAUUCCAAGAAGAAAGAUCUGUUUGAAAUAGCAAAUGGUAUUUUGAUCGUCAGAGCAGAGGUAUAAGGAUCUCCAGAGCUCAGAUACGGGGAGAAUGGCUGAGUUUGGUUUGCCAUUCAUGCUGCACGCUGCUCCUCGGGAAUGCAAUCAGGAAUGACUUGUGGGCUGGCUCCAGGACUAUAUUCUUUAAUUCCUUGGUGCUGCUUCUCCUUGUGUGCUGAUGUGAAUUAAUAU